RNAcentral lists this long non-coding RNA (1378 nucleotides) under Macaca fascicularis (crab-eating macaque). RNAcentral's name for it is "lncRNA (ENSMFAG00000054738.1)". The record is from RNAcentral. Lineage: Eukaryota; Metazoa; Chordata; Mammalia; Primates; Cercopithecidae.
CCGGGGCUUCUGGCCCUUUUCCAGGAGGGACUUGAGGUACGCAGCCAAAAGACAGGGACGUCAGCAUGGUGGGGCCCGCGGCAGCGCCAGGCUGCCCAGGCCCACCCCCACCACCCAGGGCCUCACCUCUUGGGCCUGCAAGAUGUUGACAUAUCACAGCUGGCAGAUGAGCACACGGUGGGAAAGUGUGGUGGGCUUUUGCAGGUGUGGGCGCAGGGUCUUUGGGGGGUGUGCACCCAUCAUCUCCCAAGUCCAAGGGUGGAGCUGUGUAGCAAAUGCCCCCAGCCUUCUCUGAAGACAGCAGCUGACAUCGUCAGGGCUGCUGCAGCUUCCCCACUCAGUUAGAGGCAGAGAGGACAUAGCCCAGGGCAAGCAGCAGUGCCAGGGAGGGCCAACUCAGAACAGAGAGGCCUCAAAGAAGGCCAGCAGCAGCCAAAACAGAAUCUGGUAGCUACUGAGGCUGAGCCUGGGGCCAUGGGUGUGGCCAGCUGCCUGCUUCUGCCCAUGAGGCUUAGCAGGUGCCUGCUGGCCACCGCAGGCUAGUGAAACGACAAGAGACAGAAGCUGCCAAGGAAGUCGUCCCAGGAACACAGAGUUGACCGCAAUCUGGCCUGCAAAGUGAUGCACAGACAGAGGCAGGAGGGCAUGGGGUGGUGGCACCACAGACCUCAGGACAGCAGCACCCCACCCCCACAGGCCACCUUGGGCAGGAGCAUUGAGAACACUUUCUGAAGAGGCCAGGUUGUCCCUCCUGCCCAUUCUCUGUGGUUGAUGGCAGGCGACCACUGGAAGAGCACGCAGACCAAGAUGGCAAUCUUGUAGCUCCAGAUGGGCUGCAGCUCUGGGUGCCCCUGGUACUCAAAUGUCAAACCUUUGCAGCGCAUUGAUGAUCUAGAAACUCAGGCCACAGGGACAGGUCAGAAGACACAGCCCGGACACAACUCAGAGGAGCGGAGCUGCAUCUGCUCAUAGGGGAGGAAGGAGCUGGGGACAGUUAAGGGCCCAGCCUGCACCUCUGGGACAGGGGCUUCUCACCUGGUACCGACCCGGAAACAAGAGGAGAGAAACACAGGCAGCACUGCCCUCGGGGGAGUGCUGGCCCUGGCGGAAUGCAGCAGCCACAAAGGAUCCAGCCAGAGGAUGCCCCACCUGCCCAGCACUACCAGGCUGCCCAAGGGGUGCAAGCGUGGGAAGAGCCCAACACGGAGCAGCACCUCGGAUGGGGCAGAGACUUGUCACAUCACUGUCCCCAGCAAAGGCUACAUGUUGUCUCCUUCAGUUGAUGAUACACCUUUCCGAGAUGCAGAGCAUCCAGGUCAGACAAUCUCUACCAUUUUUUUAUUAUAUUAAGGCACUAACUUAGAAUGAGGUUUUUGUG